AUUGAACGCUGGCGGCAGGCCUAACACAUGCAAGUCGAGCGGAUGAAGGGAGCUUGCUCCUGGAUUCAGCGGCGGACGGGUGAGUAAUGCCUAGGAAUCUGCCUGGUAGUGGGGGAUAACGUCCGGAAACGGGCGCUAAUACCGCAUACGUCCUGAGGGAGAAAGGGGGGGAUCUUCGGACCUCACGCUAUCAGAUGAGCCUAGGUCGGAUUAGCUAGUUGGUGGGGUAAAGGCCUACCAAGGCGACGAUCCGUAACUGGUCUGAGAGGAUGAUCAGUCACACUGGAACUGAGACACGGUCCAGACUCCUACGGGAGGCAGCAGUGGGGAAUAUUGGACGAUGGGCGAAAGCCUGAUCCAGCCAUGCCGCGUGUGUGAAGAAGGUCUUCGGAUUGUAAAGCACUUUAAGUUGGGAGGAAGGGCAGUAAGUUAAUACCUUGCUGUUUUGACGUGACCAACAGAAUAAGCACCGGCUAACUUCG
Molecule: ribosomal RNA, 482 nt
Filed under: uncultured bacterium
Lineage: Bacteria
Description: partial 16S ribosomal RNA
Rfam family: Bacterial small subunit ribosomal RNA
Source: RNAcentral